CCCGCUGAACUUAAGCAUAUCAAUAAGCGGAGGAAAAGAAACUAACAAGGAUUCCCUUAGUAACUGCGAGUGAAGUGGGAAAAGCUCAAAUUUAGAAUCUGGCAGUCACUUGGCUGUCCGAGUUGUAAUCUAGAGAAGUGUUGCCCGUGCUGGACCAUGUACAAGUCUCCUGGAAUGGAGCAUCACAGAGGGUGAGAAUCCUGUCUUUGACAUGGACUGCCAGUGCUUUUGUGGUAUGCUCUCAAAGAGUCGAGUUGUUUGGGAAUGCAGCUCAAAAUGGGUGGUAAAUGCCAUCUAAAGCUAAAUAUUGGCGAGAGACCGAUAGUGAACAAGUACCGUGAGGGAAAGAUGAAAAGAACUUUGGAAAGAGAGUUAAACAGUACGUGAAAUUGCUGAAAGGGAAACGCUUGAAGUCAGUCACGUUGACUUGGAAUCAGCUCUGCUUUUGCUGGGUGUACUUUCUUGUCAAUGGGUCAGCAUCAAUUUUGACCAUUGGAUAAAGUUGCUGGGAAUGUAGCAUCCUUUUGGAUGUGUUAUAGUCUCUCGUCGCAUGCAAGGGUCAGGAUUGAGGAACUCAGCAUGCACCUUCGGGUGUCGGGGCUUUUGUCCACGAUACAUGCUUAGGAUGUUGGCGUAAUGGCUUUAAACGACCCGUCUUGAAACACGG
Molecule: ribosomal RNA, 667 nt
Filed under: uncultured fungus
Lineage: Eukaryota; Fungi
Description: eukaryotic LSU rRNA
Rfam family: Eukaryotic large subunit ribosomal RNA
Source: RNAcentral